This 301-nucleotide ribosomal RNA is filed under the name uncultured bacterium. RNAcentral describes it as "partial 16S ribosomal RNA". It matches the Rfam family "Bacterial small subunit ribosomal RNA", at positions 509 to 809 of the family's 1533-position model. The record is from RNAcentral.
CAGUAGCCGCGGGAAUACGAAGGGGGCGAGCGUUGCUCGGAAUGACUGGGCGUAAAGGGCGCGUAGGUGGUACGGACAGUCAGAUGUGAAAUUCCCGGGCUCAACCUGGGGGCUGCAUUUGAUACGUCCGAACUAGAGUGUGGAAGAGGGUCGUGGAAUUCCCAGUGUAGAGGUGAAAUUCGUAGAUAUUGGGAAGAACACCGGUGGCGAAGGCGGCGACCUGGUCCAUUACUGACGCUGAGGCGCGAAAGCGUGGGGAGCAAACAGGAUUAGAUACCCCGGUAGUCCCUGUCUCUUAUAA